CCUACGGGAGGCAGCAGUGAGGAAUAUUGGUCAAUGGGCGAGAGCCUGACCCAGCCAAGUCGCGUGAGGGAAGAAGGUUCUAUGGAUUGUAAACCUCUUUUGCCGGGGAGCAAAAAGCGGUACGUGUACCGCAUCGAGAGUACCCGGUGAAAAAGCAUCGGCUAAGUCCGUGCCAGCAUCCGCGGGAAUACGGAGGAUGCGAGCGUUAUCCGGAUUAUUUGGGUUUAAAGGGUGGGCAGGCGGCGAGGUAAGUCAGCGGUAAAAUUGCGGGGCUCAACCCCGACCAGCCGUUGAAACUGGCUUGCUAGAGUGGGCGAGAGGUAUGCGGAAUGCGUGGUGUAGCGGUGAAAUGCGUAGAUAUCACGCAGAACUCCGAUUGCGAAGGCAGCAUACCGGCGCCCAACUGACGCUCAGGCACGAAAGCGUGGGUAUCGAACAGGAUUAGAUACCCUUGUAGUC
This 459-nucleotide ribosomal RNA is filed under the name uncultured bacterium. RNAcentral's name for it is "partial 16S ribosomal RNA". It matches the Rfam family "Bacterial small subunit ribosomal RNA", at positions 338 to 795 of the family's 1533-position model. The record is from RNAcentral.